Molecule: unclassified non-coding RNA, 276 nt
Filed under: Exophiala sp.
Lineage: Eukaryota; Fungi; Ascomycota; Eurotiomycetes; Chaetothyriales; Herpotrichiellaceae
Description: partial contains 5.8S ribosomal RNA, internal transcribed spacer 2, and large subunit ribosomal RNA
Source: RNAcentral
CGCAUAUUGCGCCCUUUGGUAUUCCGAAGGGCAUGCCUGUUCGAGCGUCAUUAUCACCCUUCAAGCCUAGGCUUGGUGUUGGACUACGUGGCAGAGACCUGCACGCGGGCCCCAAUGAGAGUGACACCGUCCCCGAGGGACCCGGUACGAGGAGCUUCUAAUCAAGCAUGUACGCGGGAGGACUCGGUGGGCGGUAGUUGCUUUGUUUGGCAUUGUUGCAUAUAUAUUUAUACCAGUGUUGACCUCGGAUCAGGUAGGGAUACCCGCUGAACUUAA